CAGGACGAACGCUGGCGGCGUGCCUAAUACAUGCAAGUCGAGCGGACUUGAWGGAGUGCUUGCACUCCUGAGRGUUAGCGGCGGACGGGUGAGUAACACGUAGGCAACCUGCCCUCAAGACUGGGAUAACUACCGGAAACGGUAGCUAAUACCGGAUAAUUUAUUWCAUAGCAUUAUGKRAUAAUGAAAGACGGAGCAAUCUGUCACUUGGGGAUGGGCCUGCGGCGCAUUAGCUAGUUGGUGGGGUAAYGGCCCACCAAGGCGACGAUGCGUAGCCGACCUGAGAGGGUGAACGGCCACACUGGGACUGAGACACGGCCCAGACUCCUACGGGAGGCAGCAGUAGGGAAUCUUCCGCAAUGGGCGAAAGCCUGACGGAGCAACGCCGCGUGAGUGAUGAAGGUUUUCGGAUCGUAAAGCUCUGUUGCCAAGGAAGAACGUCUCAUAGAGUAACUGCU
This 458-nucleotide ribosomal RNA is filed under the name Paenibacillus sp. R-45647. RNAcentral describes it as "bacterial SSU rRNA". It matches the Rfam family "Bacterial small subunit ribosomal RNA", at positions 25 to 477 of the family's 1533-position model. The record is from RNAcentral. Lineage: Bacteria; Bacillati; Bacillota; Bacilli; Caryophanales; Paenibacillaceae.